UUUUUUUUUUUUUUUUUGAGACGGAGUCUCUCUCUGCCGCCCAGGCUGGAGUGCAGUGGCCGGAUCUCAGCUCACUGCAAGCUCCGCCUCCCGGGUUCACGCCAUUCUCCUGCCUCAGCCUCCCGAGUAGCUGGGACUACAGGCGCCACCGCGCCCGGCUAGUUUUUUUGUAUUUUUUAGUAGAGACGGGGUUUCACCGUGUUAGCCAGGAUGGUCUCGAUCUCCUGACCUCGUGAUCCGCCCGUCUCGGCCUCCCAAAGUGCUGGGAUUACAGGCUUGAGCCACCGCGCCCGGCCACGAUUUAUUAUUUCUCAGGAUUCUGUGGCUUGACGGGUGGGCCCUCUGCUGCUCUGGGUAUAGUUGCAUACACCCUGGGGGUCAACAGGGACGAGGGGUACAGCGGCUAGGUUGCUCUCUGUCCCGUCUUCACCCGAGUGCCUCCACAGCUGGUAAGAUCUCCGGAGCAGGACCUGUAAGGCCUCUACAGAUCACCCCAAAACUUCCUGUCUAAAAACUCAAGCCUCUCAGCGCCCAGGCAUGGCUUCUUGCUACCCUGCCCCCAGGCACAGUCCUGCACUCACCUGCACCUGCUGUGCCACGGCCAGGCCAGUCCCCCACCACCGCCCACACCUCUCUCCACCUUCAUCCUCUUCCCAAUCUGGUCCUCCCACCACUGUGGAAACCCCGUCUGCCCCCAACGCCUAGCUUUGAAAUAAUAAUUCCCUAGAGACCUGUGUCUCUCCCUGCAUCGGCCCCUGCUUCAUUCCUGGGUGCCACCGGCUGUGCAGCUUUUGACGCUGCAGCACCCCCCUUACUUCGGAAGCAGGCUGUCUCCCGGACUGGUGGGUCUCCAUGCUAUCUGGGCCGUCUUCUCUGGCACUCUUGGUCUCUCAGUCCAUCCUGAGAAGCACAGUUCACAAUAGCCACAUGUCCAUCAACAGAUGAGUGGAUAAACAAAACAUGGUCUAGAAUAAUGGAAGGUUAUUCAGCCCUAAAAAGAGACGAAGCUGUUUCUUGCCAUGAUGUAGGUGAACCUCGAGAACAUGAGGUCGUGUGAAUGAAGUCAGACACCGAGGACCACAUAGCAUGUGACUCUCAGUCUAUGAAAUGUGUGUAGUGGAUGGAUUCACAGACAGGAGAUUCAUGGUUACCGGGGACUGGGGGGUAAGAACAGAGGGAUGGGAGUGACCGUGAAAGGUACAUAGUUUCUUUCCCAGAGCCUGAGAAUGUUCUGACAUGACCUGUCCUGUUGGCUUCACAGCUCUGUACACAGCACACACACAAAAAACAUUGAAAUGUACACUUUAUGGAAUGUGAACUGUAUCUUAAUAAAGCAGUUAGAAGACCUUCGAACAUAAGCAUGCGGCCUCACGAGCCCUUUGCCUGGGCACCCUGGCACCUCUCCCAGGCUCUACCUACCUCCAACUCUUCAUCCCUGAGCUCUUGAACAGCGGUAGGCAAACUUUUUCUGCAAAGUACCACAUGGUAAGUAUUUUUGGCCUUGCCGGUCACAUGUCUCUGCCACGAGUCCCCUGCCUUGGGGAGCAA
Long non-coding RNA from Macaca fascicularis (crab-eating macaque), 1548 nucleotides. The record is from Ensembl. Lineage: Eukaryota; Metazoa; Chordata; Mammalia; Primates; Cercopithecidae.